GAUGAACGCUGGCGGCGUGCCUAAUACAUGCAAGUCGAGCGAACAGAUGAGGAGCUUGCUCCUCUGACGUUAGCGGCGGACGGGUGAGUAACACGUGGAUAACCUACCUAUAAGACUGGGAUAACUUCGGGAAACCGGAGCUAAUACCGGAUAAUAUAUUGAACCGCAUGGUUCAAUAGUGAAAGACGGUUUUGCUGUCACUUAUAGAUGGAUCCGCGCCGCAUUAGCUAGUUGGUAAGGUAACGGCUUACCAAGGCGACGAUGCGUAGCCGACCUGAGAGGGUGAUCGGCCACACUGGAACUGAGACACGGUCCAGACUCCUACGGGAGGCAGCAGUAGGGAAUCUUCCGCAAUGGGCGAAAGCCUGACGGAGCAACGCCGCGUGAGUGAUGAAGGUCUUCGGAUCGUAAAACUCUGUUAUUAGGGAAGAACAAUUUGUAAGUAACUAUGCACGUCUUGACGGUACCUAAUCAGAAAGCCACGGCUAACUACGUG
This 496-nucleotide ribosomal RNA is filed under the name uncultured bacterium. Its description in RNAcentral is "partial 16S ribosomal RNA". It matches the Rfam family "Bacterial small subunit ribosomal RNA", at positions 28 to 507 of the family's 1533-position model. The record is from RNAcentral.